This 253-nucleotide ribosomal RNA is filed under the name uncultured bacterium. Its description in RNAcentral is "partial 16S ribosomal RNA". It matches the Rfam family "Bacterial small subunit ribosomal RNA", at positions 524 to 776 of the family's 1533-position model. The record is from RNAcentral.
UACGUAGGUGACAAGCGUUGUCCGGAUUUACUGGGCGUAAAGAGCGCGCAGGCGGUCGAUCAAGUCGAGUGUGAAAGCCCCCGGCUCAACUGGGGAGGGUCAUUCGAUACUGAUCGACUCGAAGGCAGGAGAGGGUAGUGGAAUUCCCGGUGUAGUGGUGAAAUGCGUAGAUAUCGGGAGGAACACCAGUGGCGAAGGCGACUGCCUGGCCUGUUCUUGACGCUGAGGCGCGAAAGCUAGGGGAGCAAACGGG